GAAUCUUGCGCAAUGGGCGAAAGCCUGACGCAGCGAUGCCGCGUGCGGGAUGAAGGCCUUCGGGUUGUAAACCGCUUUCAGCAGGGACGAAAUUGACGGUACCUGCAGAAGAAGCCCCGGCCAACUACGUGCCAGCAGCCGCGGUAAUACGUAGGGGGCGAGCGUUGUCCGGAUUUAUUGGGCGUAAAGAGCUCGUGGGCGGUUCGAUAAGUCGGACGUGAAAUCUCCACGCUCAACGUGGAGGGGCCGUUCGAUACUGUCGUGACUCGAGUCCGGUAGGGGAGUGUGGAAUUCCCGGUGUAGCGGUGAAAUGCGCAGAGAUCGGGAGGAACACCCGUAGCGAAGGCGGCACUCUGGGCCGGUACUGACGCUGAGGAGCGAAAGCGUGGGGAGCAAACAGG
This 401-nucleotide ribosomal RNA is filed under the name uncultured bacterium. RNAcentral describes it as "bacterial SSU rRNA". It matches the Rfam family "Bacterial small subunit ribosomal RNA", at positions 359 to 776 of the family's 1533-position model. The record is from RNAcentral.